Molecule: non-coding RNA, 1111 nt
Organism: Podarcis lilfordi (Lilford's wall lizard)
Lineage: Eukaryota; Metazoa; Chordata; Lepidosauria; Squamata; Lacertidae
Source: the annotation of a GenBank genome assembly
AGACACCAUAAUUUAAGGUUAAUUGGGCGAAUUAGGCCACAACUUUAUUGAGUUCAGGAAUGAGAGGCAUUGGCUUAGGCAUUGGUCCUAUCGACUAUCCGGCUCCAGCCCAUUUGCUGGAGACACGGGGAAGGGUUAACACUAUAUCGGGGAGUCUCCUGCCGAGGCACAUCAACUAGGAGCUCCCCGGGUCACCGCUCUGGGGCGUGCCUUUGGCCCACACCUCCAUAGGCUUCGGACAGGGCCACGCCCCACGGAGUCCUUUAACGGACCACCCUUCGUUCACUGGGGGGAGGUGAUGGCGCUCCCCCCCACAUCCUCUUAACCCCUUCUUACCAAUGCCUACCGCCUUACCAAUGCCUACCGCCAAUGCCGAAGAGUUGUGACGAGUUGCUACGAGGUAGGCGAAAAAACCAAAAGGCUGUAAAUUGCCAAUAGGGAAAAAUUCCUACCAUGCCCCUUGCGGCGACAGACCGAAGUCCAUAGCAAAGUCAGAAACCUGCCUAAAACCUACCUAGAGGGAGGGAGGGUGGGAAAAAACGUGAGGGCUAGCCGGCAGAGAGAGGGUGAGCCCCCUCCGUGCCAGCCCUAAAUAGCCCAGGCCACGCCCCCCCAGCCAGCCGAUUGGCUGGCUGGGGGGGCACACCCAGCCGGGAUUCCCCUGUUCUUGUGGGGGCUGAAACCAGCCCCCGCUCACGUGGGGUGGGCGUGAAGCCCGCAACCCCACCUCCUGGGCAAGCCGGAAGUGGCUUUGCGUGGCGAGUUCCCGCCCCCGCCAGGAUAAAUAAAGACACCAGACACCAUAAUUUAAGGUUAAUUGGGCGAAUUAGGCCACAACUUUAUUGAGUUCAGGAAUGAGAGGCAUUGGCUUAGGCAUUGGUCCUAUCGACUAUCCGGCUCCAGCCCAUUUGCUGGAGACACGGGGAAGGGUUAACACUAUAUCGGGAGUCUCCUGCCGAGGCACGUCGACUAGGAGCUCCCCCGGGUCACCGCUCUGGGGCGUGCCUUUGGCCCACACCUCCAUAGGCUUCGGACAGGGCCACGCCCCCCGGAGUCCUUUAACGGACCACCCUUCGUUCACUGGGGGGAGGUGAUGGCGCUCCUCCCCCCC